RNAcentral lists this small nucleolar RNA (112 nucleotides) under Octodon degus (degu). Its description in RNAcentral is "Small nucleolar RNA SNORA26 (ENSODEG00000021462.1)". It matches the Rfam family "Small nucleolar RNA SNORA26". From Rfam's summary of the family: The snoRNA HBI-6 belong to the H/ACA family of snoRNAs, guiding the pseudouridylation of position U4522 if the 28S rRNA. HBI-6 is the human orthologue of mouse MBI-6 snoRNA. Lineage: Eukaryota; Metazoa; Chordata; Mammalia; Rodentia; Octodontidae. The record is from Rfam by way of RNAcentral.
AUAUUGUUGACACAGUGCCAUAAGAGGCUAACACAGAAGGGUAAAGGAAGCCUCCAUAAAACCCAGAGAAGAGACUGGAACUCCUCUUUGGAUCCCUUCUGGAGUCACAGAU